AAAGCCCCUGCUUGCAGGGGCGAGUAAAGUGGCGCACGGGUGAGUAACGCGUGGUUAAUCUACCCUUGGGUUUGGGAUAACGUCCCGAAAGGGGCGCUAAUACCGGAUAAGACCACGGUGUCCACGGGCACUGGGGUAAAAGUGGGCCUCUACAUGUAAGCUCAUGCCUGAGGAUGAGACCGCGUCCCAUUAGCUUGUUGGUGAGGUAACGGCUCACCAAGGCCGCGAUGGGUAGCUGAUCUGAGAGGAUGAUCAGCCACACUGGGACUGGAACACGGCCCAUACUCCUACGGGAGGCAGCAGUGAGGAAUCUUGCGCAAUGGGGGAAACCCUGGCGCAGCCACGCCGCGUGGGUGAAGAAGGCCUUCGGGUUGUAAAGCCCUGUCAGGUGGGAAGAACCGCAGUCUGGCCAAUACCCGGACUGCUUGACGGUACCACCAAAGGAAAGCACCGGCUAACUCCGUGCCAGCAGCCGCGGUAAUACGGAGGGGUGCAAGCGUUGUUCGGAAUUACUGGGCGAAAGCGCGUGUAAGCGGACCGGUAAGUUGGGAGUGAAAGCCCCUGGGCUCACCCAGGAAGGUGCUUCCAUACUGCCGGCCUUGAGUUUCCGGAAAGGGUGGGGGGAAUUCCCCGGGGGUAUAAGGUGAAAUUCGUAAAUACCGGG
This 664-nucleotide ribosomal RNA is filed under the name uncultured bacterium. RNAcentral's name for it is "bacterial SSU rRNA". It matches the Rfam family "Bacterial small subunit ribosomal RNA", at positions 69 to 701 of the family's 1533-position model. The record is from RNAcentral.